RNAcentral lists this transfer RNA (68 nucleotides) under Dipterophagus daci. RNAcentral describes it as "tRNA-Trp". The record is from RNAcentral. Lineage: Eukaryota; Metazoa; Arthropoda; Insecta; Strepsiptera; Halictophagidae.
AAAGAUUUAAGUUAAAAUUUAAACUAAUAACCUUCAAAGUUAAUAAUAUAAAUUAAUUUUAAUCUUUA